Molecule: ribosomal RNA, 497 nt
Filed under: uncultured bacterium
Lineage: Bacteria
Description: partial 16S ribosomal RNA
Rfam family: Bacterial small subunit ribosomal RNA (bases 20-371)
Source: RNAcentral
GAUGAACGCUGGCGGCGUGCCUAAUACAUGCCAGUCGAGCGAACGGACGAGAAGCUUGCUUCUCUGAUGUUAGCGGCGGACGGGUGAGUAACACGUGGAUAACCUACCUAUAAGACUGGGAUAACUUCGGGAAACCGGAGCUAAUACCGGAUAAUAUUUUGAACCGCAUGGUUCAAAAGUGAAAGACGGUCUUGCUGUCACUUAUAGAUGGAUCCGCGCUGCAUUAGCUAGUUGGUAAGGUAACGGCUUACCAAGGCAACGAUGCGUAGCCGACCUGAGAGGGGGAGCGGGGAAACGGGAAGCGAGAGACGGGGCAGAAGACGACGGGAGGCAGCAGUGGGGAAGAUUAGGGAAGGGGCGGAAGUCUGAAGGAGAAAGGUAGGGGGAGAGAGAAAGGUCUUAGGAACCUAAAAACUGGUUAAUAGGGAAGAACGAAAGUGGAAGGAAAUAUGCACGGCUGGAAGGGGGAGAAUAAGAAGGAAAAGGAUAAAGAAGUG